This 31-nucleotide non-coding RNA is filed under the name Mus musculus (house mouse). Lineage: Eukaryota; Metazoa; Chordata; Mammalia; Rodentia; Muridae. The record is from RNAcentral.
UGCAGUAGACCCUUCUCUAUUGAGGAUGAUC